This is a long non-coding RNA of Falco peregrinus (peregrine falcon), 622 nucleotides long. RefSeq lists it as uncharacterized. NCBI's taxonomy places the organism in Eukaryota, Metazoa, Chordata, Aves, Falconiformes, Falconidae. The transcript has 4 exons. The record is from RefSeq and is a predicted model, not a curated record.
GGUGAGAUGAGGAGAAGGCAGCAGAGGGACUGUAUGAAGAUUAUGCUGAGGAACUGGGAACAGAAGAGGUGACAUUGUAGCCAAGAGGAGGAAAACAGUACAGAAGACAAAGAGCGGCCAAGACGUAUCAGGAAUUUGAAAAAGAAGAAGAUACCAAAUUCUUCCAUUACCAUGGGUCAACAUGGGAUUUUCUGCUCUGUGUUCCCUUGGAGCCCUGGAGAUCAGCAUUCAGAGACACCUGCAUGGGUCUGCAUGGAGCUGGAUGAGGUCCAGGCACAUUUGGAAGAUGUAGACUGCUGAGAAAGUGCUGAAGAAUCACAACUUCACUGCAUGGAGAGGUCCAAAGGUGCCUUGCAGGGACAUCAUCCAUCCAGAGGAUAGUUUUUAAAGCAUUCCCCACUUGAAGAUGAUGAGGAAGAAAAGGUUAAUAAAAGUAAUAGGGAUAUGAUGAGCUUUGCUUUAAGGUGUUCUAAAAGUUUCAUGGCUUUCCUUGGAGUACUGUAUAUUCACUGAAGGGGACAAGAAUGUUUAGACCUUAGACUGACAUUACAUCAUGUAGAAGCUUACACAGAUGUACAUAGAGGAUUAAAUAUUUCUAUAAAAAUUUUCAUCCAUUUGACAA